Molecule: long non-coding RNA, 1093 nt
Filed under: Eutrema salsugineum
Lineage: Eukaryota; Viridiplantae; Streptophyta; Magnoliopsida; Brassicales; Brassicaceae
Description: long non-coding RNA (ESAL_LNC001744)
Source: RNAcentral
GUUGAUGCAAUCCACCCAAGGAUUGUUCCUAGCUGGCUUCUUCACCUUCCUCAUUGCCUUCCAAACCACACUGUUACACUUAAAACCCGAUCCGAACGCAAUCUGCCAAACCCUAUCACCUCUACGAACACUUUCCUUGGCCUCCAAGUAAGCUAGCUCGUACCAGAUUCCACUGCUAGAAGUGUUUCCAAACCUGUGUAAAGUCAUCCUAGAAGCCUCCAUGUUCUCUUCACUCAAGCCUAGAUUCUUCUGAAGCUCCUCAAGCACUGUUUUGCUUGCUGCGUGGAAGCAGAAGUGCUCGAAGGCAAGCUUGUAGUCCGGAAUGUAUGGCUUGGAAAUAUCAGAGGAGGAUGACUUGGCUCCGUUAGUUUUGGCGGUGGCAGAGGAAGAGGAGGUGGUUGUUUUGGCGGCGGGUGAGAAAGUUCGGCGGAGCAAAGCGGCAAAGAAGAGAAGCUGCUCGGAGAAAGGGAGGACGAGAGGGCCUAAAGUAGUGAUGUUGGUCUUAAGAGCUUCACCUCCAACUUCCAUUAGGUCUCUGCUUAUCUUCAAUCCCUUGAAUCCUUGUUCAUCUUCUUCCUGGUACACACUCCUAAAACCAUACACAACUUACGACGUUAUGAACUUGUAACAACCAAGCCAAAAGGUCAAUUUCCUGGUUAUAAAAAAAAUAUCAAAACCUGAAGCUACGAUCGUCGGCAGCUUUAUGAGUCCGGACAAUGUGCUCGAGGCGGUACUUAGCGUGGCGGAAGUCACGGCGCCGAUUAGAGAGCAUAACGGCGGAGCAACCCAUCCUAAAGAAACAAUUAGGUAUAACCAUUGACUUGUCACGUCCGACGUACCAAUUAUAACCAACCAUCUCGGUACUCACAACCACCGCGUAACUAUUCGGGUUAGACUGAAGCAUGUCACGAGCAAGAUCAACGGCUAUGAUUCCAGCAGAGCAGCCCAUUCCUCCAAGAUUGUAACUAAGUAUGUUCCCUCUCAUCCUGUAAUGGUUAAUCACCAUUGCUGAUAGUGACGGAGUUGGGUUAAAGAUGCUGCAGUUAACCACAAGGACACCUACGUCUUUCGGUUUGACACGUGUCUUCUCGAA